Molecule: ribosomal RNA, 180 nt
Filed under: uncultured Glomeromycotina
Lineage: Eukaryota; Fungi; Glomeromycota
Description: partial small subunit ribosomal RNA
Source: RNAcentral
GGCCUGGCUGGCCGGUCCGCCUCACCGCGUGUACUGGUCCGGCCGGGCCUUUCCUUCUGGAGAAUCCCAUGGUCUUCAUUGACCGUGCGGUAGACCCAGGACUUUUACUUUGAAAAAAUUAGAGUGUUCAAAGCAGGCCUUUGCUCGGAUACAUUAGCAUGGAAUAAUUGAAUAGGACGU